Molecule: ribosomal RNA, 433 nt
Filed under: uncultured bacterium
Lineage: Bacteria
Description: partial 16S ribosomal RNA
Rfam family: Bacterial small subunit ribosomal RNA
Source: RNAcentral
AACGAACGCUGGCGGCAUGCCUAACACAUGCAAGUCGAACGAGACCUUUGGGUCUAGUGGCGCACGGGUGCGUAACGCGUGGGAACCUGCCCUUAGGUUCGGAAUAACUCCCCGAAAGGGGUGCUAAUACCGGAUAAUGUCUUCGGACCAAAGAUUUAUCGCCUUUGGAUGGGCCCGCGUUGGAUUAGCUAGUUGGUAGGAUAAAAGCCUACCAAGGCGACGAUCCAUAGCUGGUCUGAGAGGAUGAUCAGCCACACUGGGACUGAGACACGGCCCAGACUCCUACGGGAGGCAGCAGUGGGGAAUAUUGGACAAUGGGCGAAAGCCUGAUCCAGCAAUGCCGCGUGAGUGAUGAAGGCCUUAGGGUUGUAAAGCUCUUUUACCCGGGAUGAUAAUGACAGUACCGGGAGAAUAAGCUCCGGCUAACUCCGUG